UCGGUCCCUAUCCGCCGUGGGCGUAGGAAAUUUGAGAGGAGCUGUCCUUAGUACGAGAGGACCGGGAUGGACCAACCUCUGGUGCACCAGUUGUUCCGCCAGGAGCACAGCUGGGUAGCUAUGUUGGGAAGGGAUAAACGCUGAAAGCAUCUAAGCGUGAAGCCCACCUCAAGAUUAGAUUUCCCAUAGCGUAAGCUAGUAAGACCCCUGAAAGACUAUCAGGUUGAUAGGUUGGAGGUGUAAGUACAGUAAUGUAUUCAGCUGACCAAUACUAAUAGGUCGAGGGCUUGAUCAAAUA
RNAcentral lists this ribosomal RNA (298 nucleotides) under Clostridium botulinum C. Its description in RNAcentral is "partial 23S ribosomal RNA". It matches the Rfam family "Bacterial large subunit ribosomal RNA", at positions 2631 to 2925 of the family's 2925-position model. The record is from RNAcentral. Lineage: Bacteria; Bacillati; Bacillota; Clostridia; Eubacteriales; Clostridiaceae.